Long non-coding RNA from Mya arenaria, 2168 nucleotides. RefSeq lists it as uncharacterized. The record is from RefSeq and is a predicted model, not a curated record. The transcript has 4 exons. NCBI's taxonomy places the organism in Eukaryota, Metazoa, Mollusca, Bivalvia, Myida, Myidae.
ACUGGAGAUCUAUCAUAGGAAUAUUGUAAAAAUAAAACCAGAUCGGACAUACAUACAGCAAUAAAUCGUGGUGAAGUUCAAAAUUAGAAUUUAUUUAAUUUUAGUAGACUCAUUUUACUGCACAAGGCGCAAAGAAUAGGCGGGUUUACCGGCGCGGAUUCUAUACGUCGCGAACUGCAUGAGCUGAGGGCAGUCGGCCGUCCGGACGGCUGGUGGCAUGGAAGAGUCUCGGGACGGCUCCACCGCAGCCUCGGACGGUGCAAAGAGGAUCUUCAUGGUCCACGUAGACUAUUGAUACGUAUGACCGGAGCAUGGUCGUCGGUUCACGGACCUCAAGCUGGGUGUGCUCGAGAGAUGGCCGUUCGCCGAUGUCUCCGGUUCCUUUUCUGUCCAAGGCAAAGAUUCGUUCGAGAUAUUUGUGAAUGGCGAACUUCUGUAUUCUAAACUAGAGACUAAAGAAUUUCCCCAAGAAACACUGAUGCUAAGACGAAUCCACGACAAAGUCAAGAAGAGACAAGUCGAAAAGCCGCGCGGAUCAUCUUCCUUUUGUACACUAUUGUAAAACUGUUUAUUUGAAGUGGCAUGUUUCCACAUUUUAUUAAAUGAAUCCAUGCAUGCAAAUAUAUACAUGUAGGAUAAAUGCACCUAUCAAUGUUUGGCCUAACUGGGACGGGUAGGGACACAUUUACAUAGGAUACUUUAGACAUUGAGUGAUUCUCGACGGAUGUUUUUUAAGACCCGUUGACUUGAACUGCCACUCGGGAGAUAGUCUUGGCCGUCUGUUUCCUAAAGGGUAUUUGAUACUGGGAGCAAAUCCAAUCCCAGGGAUUUUGACAAAUUUCUUUGCUCAAUGGGUGGGUAAGCAAUGCCAAAGCGAUGUUGUAGAAUCAGGCGGCGUUGGUGCUAAUUAGCUGUGUCAGUGUACUUCACAAGGCCACAUUAUUAGAAAAUAUUAAAUUUAGCUACGUGGUCACAAAUUCCACAGUUAUCAAAAUAUCGCUAUUUUUUUCUGUACAUAAAUCAUGUGCUUUUUAGUUUUGAUCACUAAAAACAUAGAGGAUAAUUGUUUGUUUCAGUGUAAGAUCGUAAUAUAUUUCACCGAGUGAGCACCAAUAUUUAUAUAAAAAAAUAAUUCGCUGUUGGUGUUCUUUUAGACACAGUGAAACAUCAAUAUUUCAGUGAUAAAUCUCUUUAAACCACCCGGAAAGCAUAUAAUAAAAUAAGUUGAACAUGAAUAUGCAUUAAAAUUAAAAAAAAGUAUCAACCUACAAUGUGCACCUUUAAGCAACAGUAUCUAAACCGUGAACUCAUGAAGUACACUGACGAAGAUAAUUGACCGUGAACUCAUGAAGUACACUGACGAAGAUAAUUGACCGUGAACUCAUGAAGUACACUGACGAAGAUAAUUGACCGUGAACUCAUGAAGUACACUGACGAAGAUAAUUGACCGUGAACUCAUGAAGUACACUGACGAAGAUAAUUAACUCCAAAGCCACCAGAUUUUACAGCUUCGCGGAAUAGUACGCAUGAACCUUUAGCAAACUGUUCAAAUUAAAUAUUAAGUAUAAAUUGAUAUUUUCACACGUCCAUGGGCGACCUGUUAUGUAAGUUAUAUGGCCGCGAAAGGUUUAUGCAUUGCGUAUACUAUAGAAUAGAAUUAAUUAAAGUAAAUAAAAAAUGUUCUUAGCUCUAUCGGUCAACUUGACAUAUUAAAAAUGAAACAUUUUAUUUAACCCUUAAAAAUAUUUUUCAAUAAAUCUAUUCAAUUUCAUACUCUUUCAAUCAGCUAUGAUUCGAACUCUCUAUUCAGUUCAACUUAUUUCAAAGCAUUUAUUUGCUAUAGAUUCCUAGAGAACAUAUUUUCAGGUUGUGAAAACCCCGUGGUUGAUAUCACGCCCCAGGAGUGACAAAACAUUGAUAGGUGUAAAAGUAUAUUUUCGUAAAAUACCCAUGUGUGACCCAUUUCGUUACUCUCCUUACGUGAAAUUAAGUGUAACGGUAUGGGUCCAUGAGGUCUGUCGUGCGCUUCUGACGAUAAAAGUAACUGCGCAUUCAAGAACAUACUGAUUCUAAUGAGAACUCUUUAUAAAUAAUUUAUUUCUAAAUAAUGCCACCUGUUAAGGGGAGUUACCCCCUCUACAUCACAGUUGUCUUGAUAUGAUAUAUAA